AGCAGCCGCGGUAAUUCCAGCUCCAAUAGCGUAUAUUAAAGUUGUUGCAGUUAAAAAGCUCGUAGUUGAAUUUCGGGGUCAGUAGAUUGGUCAUGCCACUGGUAUGUACUGGUCUCACUGAUUCCUCCUUCCUGAUGAGCCGUAAUGCCAUUAAUUUGGUGUUGCGAGGAAUCUGGACUGUUACUUUGAAAAAAUUAGAGUGUUUAAAGCAGGCUAACGCUUGAAUACAUUAGCAUGGAAUAAUGAAAUAGGACGUUCGAUCUUAUUUUGUUGGUUUCUAAGAUUGACGUAAUGAUUAAUAGGGAUAGUUGGGGGCAUUAGUAUUCAAUUGUCAGAGGUGAAAUUCUUGGAUUUAUUGAAGACUAACUACUGCGAAAGCAUUUGCCAAGGAUGUUUUCAUUAAUCAAGAACGAAAGUUAGGGGAUCGAAGACGAUCAGAUACCGUCGUAGUCUUAACCAUAAACUAUGCCGACUAGGGAUCGGA
RNAcentral lists this ribosomal RNA (484 nucleotides) under uncultured Glomus. Its description in RNAcentral is "SSU rRNA". It matches the Rfam family "Eukaryotic small subunit ribosomal RNA", at positions 569 to 1057 of the family's 1831-position model. Lineage: Eukaryota; Fungi; Glomeromycota; Glomeromycetes; Glomerales; Glomeraceae. The record is from RNAcentral.